CCUACGGGAGGCAGCAGUGGGGAAUCUUGCGCAAUGGGCGAAAGCCUGACGCAGCGACGCCGCGUGGGGGAUGAAGGCCCUCGGGUUGUAAACCCCUUUCAGCAGGGACGAAGCGAAAGUGACGGUACCUGCAGAAGAAGCUCCGGCUAACUACGCGCCAGCAGCCGCGGUAAGACGUAGGGAGCGAGCGUUGUCCGGAUUCAUUGGGCGUAAAGCGCGCGCAGGCGGCCCGGAAAGUCGGAUGUGAAAACCCGGGGCUCAACCCCGGGCCUGCAUCCGAUACUACCGGGCUCGAGGCAGGUAGGGGAGAUCGGAAUUCCUGGUGUAGCGGUGAAAUGCGCAGAUAUCAGGAGGAACACCGGUGGCGAAGGCGGAUCUCUGGGCCUGUCCUGACGCUCAGGCGCGAAAGCUAGGGGAGCGAACAGGAUUAGAUCCCCGGGUAGU
RNAcentral lists this ribosomal RNA (444 nucleotides) under uncultured Actinomycetes bacterium. RNAcentral describes it as "uncultured actinobacterium partial 16S ribosomal RNA". It matches the Rfam family "Bacterial small subunit ribosomal RNA", at positions 338 to 794 of the family's 1533-position model. The record is from RNAcentral. Lineage: Bacteria; Bacillati; Actinomycetota; Actinomycetes.